AUGCCAAGUGUAUUUGUUCCUUAUUCAUUUAAUUUUCUAAACAUUUUCAUUAAUGUUCUUAAACAGGGUAAAGUUGAGGAACUUCUUGGGAAAAAGAAGGAUCUUGAGGCUACUGUUGAAAAUUUGCAGGAGAGAGGAAAGGAAAUGAAAAAUAUUCUUCAAAUUAGAGAGAAAGAAAUGCAUGAUUUGCAAAUACAGCUGACUACUAAAGUUGAAAAGGAACAGAGUUAUAUAGAACAACUUACGACACUGAAUGCAGAUCUGGAACGAGAGGCACUAAAGAAUGAGCAACUAACAGUGCAUAUCAACACGCUCUUAUUAGAAAAAGAGCAAAUGGACCAAGAGAAAAGUAAUAUAGCUGCAGAACUCAGGAAACUACAAGAAAUUCAUGAGGUAAGUUGUAAACUUCCAGCUGUUCUUAAAGGAUAA
Molecule: long non-coding RNA, 429 nt
Filed under: Anas platyrhynchos platyrhynchos (common mallard)
Lineage: Eukaryota; Metazoa; Chordata; Aves; Anseriformes; Anatidae
Description: lncRNA (ENSAPLG00000022429.1)
Source: RNAcentral